RNAcentral lists this ribosomal RNA (253 nucleotides) under uncultured bacterium. RNAcentral describes it as "partial 16S ribosomal RNA". It matches the Rfam family "Bacterial small subunit ribosomal RNA", at positions 524 to 776 of the family's 1533-position model. The record is from RNAcentral.
UACGGGGGGGGUAAGCGUUGUUCGGAAUUACUGGGCGUAAAGGGCUCGUAGGCGGCCAACUAAGUCGGACGUGAAAUCCCUCAGCUUAACUGGGGAACUGCGUCCGAUACUGGAUGGCUUGAAUUCGGGAGAGGGAUGUGGAAUUCCAGGUGUAGCGGUGAAAUGCGUAGAGAUGUGGAGGAACACCGAUGGCGAAGGCAGCCCCCUGGGCUAACACUGACGCUCAGGCACGAAAGCGUGGGGAGCAAACAGG